Molecule: non-coding RNA, 121 nt
Organism: Picea glauca (white spruce)
Lineage: Eukaryota; Viridiplantae; Streptophyta; Pinopsida; Pinales; Pinaceae
Source: Rfam
ACAUGCCUAUAUCAUAGCGUUAAUGCAUCAGAUACCAUUAGAAAUCCAUAGUUAAGUGCGCUCAUGAUAGAGUAGUACUAGGAUGGGCGACUGUUUGAUAAUUCCUAGUGUUUUACAUGCC